CCUACGGAUGGCAGCAGUGAGGAAUAUUGGUCAAUGGACGCAAGUCUGAACCAGCCAUGCCGCGUGCAGGCAGGCGGCUCUAUGAGUUGUAACCUGCUUUUGUACGAGGGUAAACGCAGAUACACGUAUCUGUCUGAAAGUAUCGUACUAAUAAGGAUCGGCUAACUCCGUGCCAGCAGCCGCGGUAAUACGGAGGAUUCAAGCGUUAUCCGGAUUUAUUGGGUUUAAAGGGUGCGUAGGCGGUCGGAUAAGUUAGAGGUGAAAUCCCGAGGCUCAACUUCGGAAUUGCCUCUGAUACUGUUCGGCUAGAGAGUAGUUGCGGUAGGCGGAAUGUAUGGUGUAGCGGUGAAAUGCUUAGAGAUCAUACAGAACACCGAUUGCGAAGGCAGCUGACCAAGCUACUUCUGACGUUGAGGCACGAAAGCGUGGGGAGCAAACAGGAUUAGAUACCCCAGUAGUC
RNAcentral lists this ribosomal RNA (460 nucleotides) under uncultured bacterium. RNAcentral describes it as "partial 16S ribosomal RNA". It matches the Rfam family "Bacterial small subunit ribosomal RNA", at positions 338 to 795 of the family's 1533-position model. The record is from RNAcentral.